RNAcentral lists this unclassified non-coding RNA (305 nucleotides) under Hevea brasiliensis (rubber tree). Lineage: Eukaryota; Viridiplantae; Streptophyta; Magnoliopsida; Malpighiales; Euphorbiaceae. The record is from RNAcentral.
UUCGUGCACUGGGUCACCCUUUUUUUAUUAGCUUUAAUUCAAAAACCUUCUUUUGUUGCAUUGCAAAUAUGUUUGUUCUUUCUUUGUGCAAUAUAAUUUGGUGAUAUUAAUCAGUGUUGUCACCAGGCACCCGGGUGCUCGCCUAGGCACCUGGGCAAGGUGAAAUCCAUGCACCUCACCUGGGAAGCCUCCAGGAGAAGCGACUUAAACCAGGCAUUACUUUGGCGCCCAGGCGAGACCCAGGCGAGGUGAGGAAAGGAGAUAAAAUGCAAGAAAUCAAGAAAAAAAGUUGAGAGAGAACAUGG